Molecule: ribosomal RNA, 954 nt
Filed under: Triticum aestivum (bread wheat)
Lineage: Eukaryota; Viridiplantae; Streptophyta; Magnoliopsida; Poales; Poaceae
Description: partial small subunit ribosomal RNA
Source: RNAcentral
AUGGUGAGCGCGUCCAGCCUGCUGCUGCCGUCCUCCAUGCGCGACUUCGCCUCCUGCAUCGGCGACGGCGCCGUCCGCGUCGCCUGCGCCAGCCCCUCCUCCACCCUCACCUCCGGCGGCGGCUCCGCCUCCGGCUCCACCCUCGCCGUCACGGCGUCCUACCGUGCCACGCUCCUCAACUCUAACGCCUCCUCUCCGCCGCUGCUGUUUCGCCUGACCUGGGCCCACUCCCCGGUGGGCCCCACACUGUCUUUUGCUCCAUCCGCCGCUGCGCCUUCCGUUCUCCUUCGCAGGCGCAGGGGCACCCGCUCCUUCACUCUCGCGGACGGCGGCAGCGAUGCGGAUGAUGCGGAGGCGGGCUCGGAGCCCCCCGUGCUCGCCCUCUUCUGGGACCUCACGGCGGCGCGGUACGACCCCGGGGCGUCGCCGGAGCCGCUCUACGGCUACUUCGUCGUCGCCGUGGCCGGCGCAGAGGUCGUGCUCGCGGUGGGCGACCUGGCCGCGGAGUUCGUCAAGACCAAGUUCGAGGGCCAGAUCUCCAAGGCGCGGUGCCUGCCGGUGUCGCGCAGGGAGCGCGUCGUGGUCGCCGACCCGGCGGCAAUGCACACCGCGAGGGUGCGCUUCGCGGAGGGCGGGCCGGAGCACGAGGUGAGCGUCGGGUGCGCCACGAGCUCCGGGGGAGGGGAGGAGCUGUGGGUCAGCGUCGACGGGAAGCGAGCGGUGCAGGCGCAGCGGCUGCGGUGGAACUUCAGGGGCAACCAGACGGUGUUCGUCGACGGCGCGCCGGUGGACGUCAUGUGGGACCUCCACGGGUGGUGGUUCCGGGACCCGCCGGGCUGCGCGGUGGUGAUGCUCCGGGCAAGGAGCGCGCUGGAGAGCCGGCUGUGGCUGGAGGAGGAGGGGGCGGCGCCGGGGUUCUCGCUCGUCGUGCAGGCCUUCAAGGCCCCGCCAUGA